Molecule: ribosomal RNA, 774 nt
Filed under: uncultured bacterium
Lineage: Bacteria
Description: bacterial SSU rRNA
Rfam family: Bacterial small subunit ribosomal RNA
Source: RNAcentral
GAGUUUGAUCCUGGCUCAGAAUCAACGCUGGCGGCGCGCCUAACACAUGCAAGUCGAACGGGAAAGUGGGCAACCAUGAGUACAGUGGCGUACGGGUGAGUAACACGUGGGUAAUCUACCUCUUAGUGGGGAAUAACCCCGGGAAACCGGGGCUAACACCGCAUAACACUGCAAAGUCAAAUGCGUAAGCAGCUUGGAGAGGGGGUCGCGGUUGAUUAGCUAGUUGGUAGGGUAAUGGCCUACCAAGGCAAUGAUCAAUAGCCGGCCUGAGAGGGCGCACGGCCACACUGGAACUGAAACACGGUCCAGACUCCUACGGGAGGCAGCAGUGGGGAAUUUUGCGCAAUGGGGGAAACCCUGACGCAGCAAUGCCGCGUGGAGGAUGAAGUCCUUUGGGAUGUAAACUCCUUUCGAUCGGGAAGAUAAUGACGGUACCGGAAGAAGAAGCCCCGGCUAACUCUGUGCCAGCAGCCGCGGUAAUACAGAGGGGGCAAGCGUUGUUCGGAAUUAUUGGGCGUAAAGGGCGCGUAGGCGGUGCGGUAAGUCACCUGUGAAAUCUCUGGGCUCAACUCAGAGUCUGCAGGCGAAACUGCCGUGCUUGAGUGUGGGAGAGGUAUGUGGAAUUCCCGGUGUAGCGGUGAAAUGCGUAGAUAUCGGGAGGAACACCUGUGGCGAAAGCGGCAUACUGGACCACAACUGACGCUGAGGCGCGAAAGCUAGGGGAGCAAACAGGAUUAGAUACCCUGGUAGUCCUAGCCCUAAACGAUGGAUGCU